UAGAAAGUAAUAUAAGGGGAGUAUAGAGGGUUUUGAUCUCUCUAGUGCGGGUUCGAUUCCCGUCUUUCUAA
Molecule: transfer RNA, 71 nt
Filed under: Paradoxornis heudei
Lineage: Eukaryota; Metazoa; Chordata; Aves; Passeriformes; Muscicapidae
Description: Calamornis heudei tRNA-Gln
Rfam family: tRNA
About the family: Transfer RNA (tRNA) molecules are approximately 80 nucleotides in length. Their secondary structure includes four short double-helical elements and three loops (D, anti-codon, and T loops). Further hydrogen bonds mediate the characteristic L-shaped molecular structure. tRNAs have two regions of fundamental functional importance: the anti-codon, which is responsible for specific mRNA codon recognition, and the 3' end, to which the tRNAs corresponding amino acid is attached (by aminoacyl-tRNA synthetases). tRNAs cope with the degeneracy of the genetic code in two manners: having more than one tRNA (with a specific anti-codon) for a particular amino acid; and 'wobble' base-pairing, i.e. permitting non-standard base-pairing at the 3rd anti-codon position.
Source: RNAcentral